RNAcentral lists this ribosomal RNA (498 nucleotides) under uncultured bacterium. RNAcentral describes it as "partial 16S ribosomal RNA". It matches the Rfam family "Bacterial small subunit ribosomal RNA", at positions 30 to 523 of the family's 1533-position model. The record is from RNAcentral.
AUUGAACGCUGGCGGCAUGCCUUACACAUGCAAGUCGAACGGUAACAGGUCUUCGGAUGCUGACGAGUGGCGAACGGGUGAGUAAUACAUCGGAACGUGCCUAGUAGUGGGGGAUAACUACUCGAAAGAGUGGCUAAUACCGCAUGAGAUCUACGGAUGAAAGCAGGGGAUCGCAAGACCUUGUGCUACUAGAGCGGCCGAUGGCAGAUUAGGUAGUUGGUGGGAUAAAAGCUUACCAAGCCGACGAUUUGUAGCUGGUCUGAGAGGACGAUCAGCCACACUGGGACUGAGACACGGCCCAGACUCCGACGGGAGGCAGCAGUGGGGAAUUUUGGACAAUGGGCGAAAGCCUGAUCCAGCAAUGCCGCGUGCAGGAUGAAGGCCUUCGGGUUGUAAACUGCUUUUAUACGGAACGAAAAGCCCCGGGUUAAUACCCUGGGGUCAUGACGGUACCGUAAGAGUAAGCACCGGCUAACUACGUGCCAGCCGCCGCCGUAA